This 574-nucleotide long non-coding RNA is filed under the name Homo sapiens (human). RNAcentral describes it as "FTX transcript, XIST regulator". The record is from RNAcentral. Lineage: Eukaryota; Metazoa; Chordata; Mammalia; Primates; Hominidae.
UGCGCAAGGCUUGAAUGGCGUCGGGGUUGGAGGGUUGGAAGGUCGGGAAGUGAAGGACUCGCAGGCAUAUUUAACAACGCAAAGUUGCUAGGAGUUGGUACCAGCGUUUGGGAGGUAGAGGUGGCGCUCAUGCAUAUUUGAGACAACAUCUGGAUGGUUGGGGAGAACGGUGAUGCCACACUCAAUCAGAAACUAUGCUACUGCUGAAGAGGUAUAUUGAGCCCUGCCUGGUUAACCUCCAGUGAGGUUAUUAGAGAAUUGGGAGAGGCUCAAAUCAGCAUCCUGCACCUAGUUAUCAAACCAUUGUGAAGUCUUGCAAGUUCAUCAGAGGGCGAGGAUGAAUUACGGUUGCCAUGAAUGUCCUUGUGAGGCAGUUGGGAAGCCUUGGCUGGAUUGUGAAGGAUAUUUGAAAAGUAUUUUAGAGUCCACCAGAUCAUCCAUGUGAGUGACCAUGCAGCAAAAGAAGGAGGGUCCUCUCAGUGAUUAAGGUAACAUAGUGAUUAAGGAUUAUGAAGUAUUAAUUCUUCCACUGAUAUCUCAAAAGGUGAUCUGGACAAAGGAACAGGUAUCUCAG